This 513-nucleotide ribosomal RNA is filed under the name uncultured bacterium. RNAcentral describes it as "partial 16S ribosomal RNA". It matches the Rfam family "Bacterial small subunit ribosomal RNA", at positions 28 to 523 of the family's 1533-position model. The record is from RNAcentral.
GACGAACGCUGGCGGCAUGCCUAAUACAUGCAAGUCGAGCGAACAGAUGAAGUGCUUGCACUCCUGACGUUAGCGGCGAACGGGUGAGUAACACGUAAGGAAUCUACCUAUAAGCGGGGGAUAACAUUCGGAAACGGGUGCUAAUACCGCAUAAUAUCUUCUUCCGCAUGGACGAAGAUUGAAAGACGGCUCUGCUGUCACUUAUAGAUGACCUUGCGGUGCAUUAGUUAGUUGGUGGGGUAACGGCCUACCAAGACGAUGAUGCAUAGCCGACCGUGGAUGGUGAUCGGCCACAUUGGGACUGAGACACGGCCCAAACUCCUACGGGAGGCAGCAGUAGGGAAUCUUCCGCAAUGGGCGAAAGCCUGACGGAGCAAUGCCGCGUGAGUGAAGAAGGCCUUCGGGUCGUAAAACUCUGUUAUAAGAGAAGAACAAAUUGUAGAGUAACUGCUACAGUCUUGACGGUAUCUUAUCAGAAAGCCACGGCUAACUACGUGCCAGCCGCCGCAGUAA